AUGUCAUUUAUUUGGUGUGGUGGGGAAUCAGGACUGUUACUUUGAAAAAAUUAGAGUGUUUAAAGCAGGCUCGCGCUUGAAUACAUUAGCAUGGAAUAAUGAAAUAGGACGUUUGAUCCUAUUUUGUUGGUUUCUAGGAUCGACGUAAUGAUUAAUAGGGAUAGUUGGGGGCAUUAGUAUUCAAUUGUCAGAGGUGAAAUUCUUGGAUUUAUUGAAGACUAACUACUGCGAAAGCAUUUGCCAAGGAUGUUUUCAUUAAUCAAGAACGAAAGUUAGGGGAUCGAAGACGAUCAGAUACCGUCGUAGUCUUAACCAUAAACUAUGCCGACUAGGGAUCGGAUGAUGUUAAUUUUUUAAUGACUCAUUCGGCCCCUUACG
This 378-nucleotide ribosomal RNA is filed under the name uncultured Glomeromycotina. RNAcentral's name for it is "SSU rRNA". It matches the Rfam family "Eukaryotic small subunit ribosomal RNA", at positions 716 to 1092 of the family's 1831-position model. The record is from RNAcentral. Lineage: Eukaryota; Fungi; Glomeromycota.